This 253-nucleotide ribosomal RNA is filed under the name uncultured bacterium. RNAcentral's name for it is "partial 16S ribosomal RNA". It matches the Rfam family "Bacterial small subunit ribosomal RNA", at positions 524 to 776 of the family's 1533-position model. The record is from RNAcentral.
UACGAAGGGGGCUAGCGUUGCUCGGAAUUACUGGGCGUAAAGAGCUCGUAGGCGGCCUGUCGCGUCAAUUGUGAAAGCCCGGGGCUUAACCCCGGGUCUGCAGUCGAUACGGGCAGGCUAGAGUGUGGUAGGGGAGAUCGGAAUUCCUGGUGUAGCGGUGAAAUGCGCAGAUAUCAGGAGGAACACCGGUGGCGAAGGCGGAUCUCUGGGCCAUUACUGACGCUGAGGAGCGAAAGCGUGGGGAGCGAACAGG